GUCGAACGGAAAGGCCCUUCGGGGUACUCGAGUGGCGAACGGGUGAGUAACACGUGGGUGAUCUGCCCUGCACUUUGGGAUAAGCCUGGGAAACUGGGUCUAAUACCGAAUAUGACCACGCGCUUCAUGGUGUGUGGUGGAAAGCUUUUGCGGUGUGGGAUGGGCCCGCGGCCUAUCAGCUUGUUGGUGGGGUAAUGGCCUACCAAGGCGACGACGGGUAGCCGGCCUGAGAGGGUGACCGGCCACACUGGGACUGAGAUACGGCCCAGACUCCUACGGGAGGCAGCAGUGGGGAAUAUUGCACAAUGGGCGCAAGCCUGAUGCAGCGACGCCGCGUGAGGGAUGACGGCCUUCGGGUUGUAAACCUCUUUCAAUAGGGACGAAGCGCAAGUGACGGUACCUAUAGAAGAAGGACCGGCCAACUACGUGCCAGCAGCCGCGGUAAUACGUAGGGUCCGAGCGUUGUCCGGAAUUACUGGGCGUAAAGAGCUCGUAGGUGGUUUGUCGCGUUGUUCGUGAAAACUCACAGCUUAACUGUGGGCGUGCGGGCGAUACGGGCAGACUAGAGUACUGCAGGGGAGACUGGAAUUCCUGGUGUAGCGGUGGAAUGCGCAGAUAUCAGGAGGAACACCGGUGGCGAAGGCGGGUCUCUGGGCAGUAACUGACGCUGAGGAGCGAAAGC
This 682-nucleotide ribosomal RNA is filed under the name Mycolicibacterium fortuitum. Its description in RNAcentral is "bacterial SSU rRNA". It matches the Rfam family "Bacterial small subunit ribosomal RNA", at positions 61 to 760 of the family's 1533-position model. The record is from RNAcentral. Lineage: Bacteria; Bacillati; Actinomycetota; Actinomycetes; Mycobacteriales; Mycobacteriaceae.